Molecule: long non-coding RNA, 1514 nt
Filed under: Suricata suricatta (meerkat)
Lineage: Eukaryota; Metazoa; Chordata; Mammalia; Carnivora; Herpestidae
Description: lncRNA (ENSSSUG00005016982.1)
Source: RNAcentral
GCGGUGCUAUAUGGUCCCAUUUAAUGAUAUAUCCCUAACAUGCCUGCUUGAGGUGGUGCAGAAAGCCUGGGCCGAAGGAAGUCAGAUCUGAAGGGCUACAGGAAAGGAGGAGGGAGAGAAACAUCUCCUGUGCUCACCAAGACCCCCAGACACUGGGGCCAGCCGCAAAUUCCUUCCAGUUUGUAAAAACGCGGUUUGGUGACAGGCACUGAAAGAGAGUGAGACAUCACAAGGGGUGACAGUGCAGCUCUGACAACACAAAUGAAAUGAGAAAGGCAGUCAGCCCAGGCUGGCUCCUUUGGAAUUCCAGAGAAUUCCCGACGCUGAUUUCGUCCAUGUUCGAAUUCGUUUAGCACUCCUUUCCAACGACCUCUCUGUGGGCCAGGACAUGUUCACUCCUCUCCAGGACGUCCGGCUAUUCGGAGAAGGCCUCACGGAAGGAAAGAAAGUACACCGCACGAUGACCCACGCGGGAGCCAGAAACCGCUCUCCCCUCUCUCGCGGAAUCCUCCGGAGCUUCCCUCCCACCGGCUCGGCGCAAACCGUCGCUGGGCUUCCCCCUACUUGUGAAGCAACCCUGUCUCCUCAGCAGAGCAGGACCUGUUUGACGAAUGGUGGCAGAGGGCUGAGGGGGAAGUGGAUUUUGAUCGCCUUGAUUGCAAGAAUCCAGACGUUUAAAGACUUGGAUAACAUUCAGAUUCUGAAUCACCAGAGCAUCCUCCAAAGAGAAGAGUAGGCUCCACUGGAGAGUCCAGUACUUUACAGCCACCGGAUUUGAACCAUCAGAAGAAAGAAUGGGUACCUUCACCAUCAAGAGAAAAUUCUUCCUGCAAGGAAAUGUCAAAGCUCAAAGGGUCAUUGCACUUUGAGAUGGCUUUGUUUGUAGAACUUCCAGUUUCGUACUUCUUACAAUGUACUGUGGCUUCUCAGAGACAAUGGUCCGUGGUGGCAGCCAGGCUGACGGCCAGGAUUUGAGUCUGAACGCAGCUCAUGCUCUCCGCCACAUUCCAUUUGUUCAAGUAACUUUUCCAGGGCUAUGCAGUCAGACCAAUUAUCUUAGAAACAAGCAAUUAUAACCACAUUCACAGCUCCCUAAAAGGGUGAGCGCAUUCCAGUAACAAUUUCUCAUGAAAGAAAACAGUAAUUGAAAGAUUGGCAAGGCUAUUGCAAUAGACUAAGACCUCUGGAAAGACAUUUAAUAGCACAAGUGUGUGCCUACACACACAUACACAAGUCUGCUUGCUUUCCCACUAGAGGAAUUUGUCCUUUCCACCUAAAUCCAUUAGCUUUUUUGUGGAUGGGGGAGGGUAAAUAUAGGCAAUAGGAAACAAAACAGAUAAAGCUAAGGUUGGCAUUCUGAGUUCUGAUCAUGCAUUGUUCUUUAGUAUCUGUGUCUGUUCAUCCCUGGCUUACAUACUGUUGAAGGGAAGUCACAACAAAAUAUUUGCAAAAUAUUAUUCCUGAGAUAAUACUUCUGGAAGUACUCUAGAAAAGGUAAAGGGUUCUAAACAACU